AACGAACGCUGGCGGCGUGCCUAACACAUGCAAGUCGUGCGAGAAAGUUCCUUCGGGAGCGAGUAAAGCGGCGCACGGGUGAGUAACACGUAGGUAACCUGCCCCCCAGCCUGGAACAACUAGAGGAAACUCUAGCUAAUGCCGGAUGAGACCACGAUCCCUUCGGGGGUUGCGGCCAAAGAUGGCCUCUACUUGUAAGCUAUCGCCGAGGGAUGGGCCUGCGGGCCAUUAGCUUGUUGGUGAGGUAACGGCUCACCAAGGCUGUGAUGGCUAGCUGGUCUGAGAGGAUGACCAGCCACACUGGGACUGAGACACGGCCCAGACUCCUACGGGGAGGCAGCAGUGGGGAAUAUUGCGCAAUGGGCGAAAGCCUGACGCAGCGACGCCGCGUGGGUGAUGAAGGCCUGGUCGUAA
Molecule: ribosomal RNA, 414 nt
Filed under: uncultured bacterium
Lineage: Bacteria
Description: bacterial SSU rRNA
Rfam family: Bacterial small subunit ribosomal RNA
Source: RNAcentral